UUAAUACCUAGGUUUGACGUCAGACAUAC
RNAcentral lists this small RNA (29 nucleotides) under Bombyx mori (domestic silkworm). Its description in RNAcentral is "ovarian small RNA-36380". The record is from RNAcentral. Lineage: Eukaryota; Metazoa; Arthropoda; Insecta; Lepidoptera; Bombycidae.